GGAGAGGUGCAGGAGUGGUUGAACUGGCCGCUCUCGAAAAGCGGUGUACCGCAAGGUACCGAGGGUUCGAAUCCCUCUCUCUCCGCCA
Molecule: transfer RNA, 88 nt
Filed under: Candidatus Saccharibacteria bacterium oral taxon 955
Lineage: Bacteria; Candidatus Saccharimonadota
Also listed under: 1 other name
Description: tRNA-Ser
Rfam family: tRNA
About the family: Transfer RNA (tRNA) molecules are approximately 80 nucleotides in length. Their secondary structure includes four short double-helical elements and three loops (D, anti-codon, and T loops).
Source: RNAcentral